UGGGGAAUUUUGCACAAUGGGCGAAAGCCUGAUGCAGCGACGCCGCGUGGAGGAUGAAGGCCUUCGGGUUGUAAACUCCUUUUGCAGGGGAAGAUGAUGACGGUACCCUGCGAAUAAGCCACGGCUAACUCUGUGCCAGCAGCCGCGGUAAGACAGAGGUGGCGAGCGUUGUUCGGAAUUACUGGGCUUAAAGGGCGCGUAGGCGGUGGUACAAGUCUGAGGUGGAAUGCUACGGCUCAACCGUAGAAUUGCCUUGGAAACUGUACUGCUUGAGUUAGACAGGGGAAGGCGGAAUUCCUGGUGUAGCGGUGAAAUGCGUAGAUAUCAGGAGGAAGGCCUGUGGCGAAGGCGGCCUUCUGGGUCUUAACUGACGCUGAGGCGCGAAAGCGUGGGGAGCAAACAGG
This 404-nucleotide ribosomal RNA is filed under the name uncultured bacterium. Its description in RNAcentral is "bacterial SSU rRNA". It matches the Rfam family "Bacterial small subunit ribosomal RNA", at positions 355 to 776 of the family's 1533-position model. The record is from RNAcentral.